RNAcentral lists this ribosomal RNA (305 nucleotides) under uncultured bacterium. Its description in RNAcentral is "bacterial SSU rRNA". It matches the Rfam family "Bacterial small subunit ribosomal RNA", at positions 337 to 634 of the family's 1533-position model. The record is from RNAcentral.
ACCUACGGGGGGCAGCAGUAGGGAAUCUUCGGCAAUGGGCGAAAGCCUGACCGAGCAACGCCGCGUGAAUGAAGAAGGCCUUCGGGUUGUAAAAUUCUGUUAUAAGGGAAGAAAGGUGAUAGGAGGAAAUGACUAUCAAUUGACGGUACCUUAUGAGAAAGCCACGGCUAACUACGUGCCAGCAGCCGCGGUAAUACGUAGGUGGCAAGCGUUAUCCGGAAUUAUUGGGCGUAAAGAGCGCGCAGGUGGUUAAUUAAGUCUGAUGUGAAAGCCCACGGCUUGACCGUGGAGGGUCAUUGGAAACU